Molecule: ribosomal RNA, 465 nt
Filed under: uncultured bacterium
Lineage: Bacteria
Description: bacterial SSU rRNA
Rfam family: Bacterial small subunit ribosomal RNA
Source: RNAcentral
GGGCCCGCACAAGCGGCGGAGCAUGUGGCUUAAUUCGACGCAACGCGAAGAACCUUACCAAGGUUUGACACCAUACUGAAGGUAAUAGAAAUAUUGCCGCCCGCAAGGGCAGUAUGACAGGUGGUGCAUGGUUGUCGUCAGCUCGUGUCGUGAGAUGUUGGGUUAAGUCCCGCAACGAGCGCAACCCUCUUCCCAUGUUGCCAUCAGGUUAUGCUGGGCACUCUUGGGAUACUGCCAGUGUAAAACUGGAGGAAGGUGGGGAUGACGUCAAAUCAUCAUGCCCUUUAUACCUUGGGCUGCACACGUGCUACAAUGGCCUGUACAAAGAGCUGCGAUACUGUGAGGUGGAGCGAAUCUCAAAAAACAGGUCUAAGUCCAGAUUGAAGGCUGCAACUCGCCUUCAUGAAGUCGGAGUCGCUAGUAAUCGUGGAUCAGCACGCCACGGUGAAUACGUUCCCGGGCCUU